Molecule: ribosomal RNA, 468 nt
Filed under: uncultured bacterium
Lineage: Bacteria
Description: partial 16S ribosomal RNA
Rfam family: Bacterial small subunit ribosomal RNA
Source: RNAcentral
GACGAACGCUGGCGGCGUGCUUAACACAUGCAAGUCGAACGGAAAGGCCCUGCUUUUGUGGGGUGCUUGAGUGGCGAACGGGUGAGUAACACGUGAGUAACCUGCCCUUGACUUUGGGAUAACUUCAGGAAACUGGGGCUAAUACCGGAUAGGAGCUCCUGCUGCAUGGUGGGGGUUGGAAAGUUUCGGCGGUUGGGGAUGGACUCGCGGCUUAUCAGCUUGUUGGUGGGGUAGUGGCUUACCAAGGCUUUGACGGGUAGCCGGCCUGAGAGGGUGACCGGCCACAUUGGGACUGAGAUACGGCCCAGACUCCUACGGGAGGCAGCAGUGGGGAAUAUGGCACAAUGGGCGGAAGCCUGAUGCAGCAACGCCGCGUGCGGGAUGACGGCCUUCGGGUUGUAAACCGCUUUCGCCUGUGACGAAGCGUGAGUGACGGUAAUGGGUAAAGAAGCACCGGCUAACUACGUG